AACAGCUGGAAACGGCUGCUAAUACCGCAUAAGCGCACAGAGCUGCAUGGCUCGGUGUGAAAAACUCCGGUGGUAUGGGAUGGGCCCGCGUCUGAUUAGGCAGUUGGCGGGGUAACGGCCCACCAAACCGACGAUCAGUAGCCGGCCUGAGAGGGCGACCGGCCACAUUGGGACUGAGACACGGCCCAAACUCCUACGGGAGGCAGCAGUGGGGAAUAUUGCACAAUGGGGGAAACCCUGAUGCAGCGACGCCGCGUGAGCGAAGAAGCAUUUCGGUAUGUAAAGCUCUAUCAGUAGGGAAGAUAAUGACUGUACCUGACUAAGAAGCCCCGGCUAACUA
Molecule: ribosomal RNA, 340 nt
Filed under: uncultured bacterium
Lineage: Bacteria
Description: bacterial SSU rRNA
Rfam family: Bacterial small subunit ribosomal RNA
Source: RNAcentral